UAAGGAAUAUUGGACAAUGGAGGCAACUCUGAUCCAGCCAUGCCGCGUGAAGGAAUAAGGCCCUAUGGGUUGUAAACUUCUUUUAUACGGGACAAAACCCCUUUACGUGUAAAGGGUUGUUGGUACUGUCAGAAUAAGCAUCGGCUAACUUCGUGCCAGCAGCCGCGGUAAUACGAAGGAUGCAAGCGUUAUCCGGAAUUAUUGGGUUUAAAGGGUGCGUAGGCGGACUAAUAAGUCAGUGGUGAAAGCCUGCAGCUUAACUGCAGAAUUGCCAUUGAUACUGUUAGUCUUGAGUUCAGUUGAGGUAGGCGGAAUGUGUCAUGUAGCGGUUAAAUGCUUAGAUAUGACACAGAACACCGAUUGCGAAGGCAGCUUGCUAAGCUGUAACUGACGCUGAGGCACGAAAGCGUGGGGA
This 415-nucleotide ribosomal RNA is filed under the name uncultured bacterium. RNAcentral describes it as "bacterial SSU rRNA". It matches the Rfam family "Bacterial small subunit ribosomal RNA", at positions 355 to 767 of the family's 1533-position model. The record is from RNAcentral.